AGAGACAGUAGAACAUAGAGACAGUAGAACAUAGAGACAGUAGAACACAGACAGUAGAACAUAGAGACAGUAGAACAUAGACAGUAGAACAUAGACAACAGUAGAACAUAGAGACAGUAGAACACAGACAGUAGAACAUAGAGACAGUAGAACAUAGACAGUAGAACAUAGAGACAGUAGAACAUAGACAGUAGAACAUCAUUUAGAGUAGAACAUAGAGACAGUAGAACAUAGACAGUAGAACAUAGACAGUAGAAUACAGACAGUAGAACACAGAGACAGUAGAACAUCAUUUAGAGUACAACAUAGAAACAGUAGAACACAGACAAUAGCACACAGACAAUAGCACACAGAGACAGAACAUAGAAACAGUAGAACAUAGAGACAGUAGAACACAGACAGUAGAACACAGAGACAGUAGAACAUAGACAGUAGAACAUAGAGACAGUAGAACAUAGACAGUAGAACAUCAUUUAGAGUAGAACAUAGAGACAGUAGAACAUAGACAGUAGAACAUAGACAGUAGAAUACAGACAGUAGAACACAGAGACAGUAGAACAUCAUUUAGAGUACAACAUAGAAACAGUAGAACACAGACAAUAGCACACAGACAAUAGCACACAGAGACAGAACAUAGAAACAGUAGAACAUAGAGACAGUAGA
Sander lucioperca (pikeperch) is the source of this 663-nucleotide long non-coding RNA. RefSeq lists it as uncharacterized. Lineage: Eukaryota; Metazoa; Chordata; Actinopteri; Perciformes; Percidae. The record is from RefSeq and is a predicted model, not a curated record. The transcript has 3 exons.